Molecule: long non-coding RNA, 515 nt
Filed under: Daucus carota (carrot)
Lineage: Eukaryota; Viridiplantae; Streptophyta; Magnoliopsida; Apiales; Apiaceae
Description: long non-coding RNA (DCAR_LNC001314)
Source: RNAcentral
UACCCAGGGAGUAUGCUUGCUUUUUGGUGAAAGUGUAUGUGUGCAGUAUAGACAAUAGUGGAAUGAUAGAAAUAGUGUAGGCAGAUAGUCAACUUACUACUUCAAGAAAUGCUAGAAAUAGUUAAAUGACAAAGGUGUAAGGGACUACAGGACAAGGUGUCUUGAUGUACUAUAGACAAAGUUAGGGUGCUUCUAGACAGGGUUUGCUAACAUGCACACAACAAAGAGAAUCAUGGCUGAGAGGGUUUUGAGUGCAUUUUGAAGCUUACAGGGUUGAAUCGGGACUCCCUUUUCGGGAGUUUGCUGAUGAAGAUGAGUCCAGUGGCACCGUGACCACAGGACGGAGAAUACAACCUCCCCCUCCUUCUAGCGCCAAAUGAUAACGCCAAAUCCCGUUCCGGUGCUUCCUCCGCCGUGUACUGGUGUCUUGCGGUGUAGCUGCUGGACGGGUGUCUGCAAAACAACACCGGAGGGGGGUUUGAGCCCCGCGGCGCCUCCGGCGUGAGAAUGAGUAC